AUAGGAGGUAGUCCGAAGGACUAGCUUACUUACCAUGUGUGAACUGUAUUCAUGACUGCUGUGUGCCAGUCAGUGGGUAGUACUAGCUGAGGUGGUCUUGAGGAGGGUCUGUAGAGACCUGAGCCUUGACUGUCUUUGCAAAGACUGCCCACCCCGGCACACACACCAUUACGUAUACCCUGUAUGUCCUAAAACACCCCAGAUAGAGGUAUCAAGCAACCUAGUGUUGAAUUUGCA
Molecule: unclassified non-coding RNA, 237 nt
Filed under: soil metagenome
Description: partial internal transcribed spacer 1
Source: RNAcentral